GGUAGUCCACGCCGUAAACGAUGAGUGCUAAGUGGUUAGGGGGUUUCCGCCCCUUAGUGCUGGCAGCUAACGCAUUAAGCACUCCGCCUGGGGAGUACGGUCGCAAGACUGAAACUCAAAGGAAUUGACGGGGGCCCGCACAAGCGGUGGAGCAUGUGGUUUAAUUCGAAGCAACGCGAAGAACCUUACCAGGUCUUGACAUCCCGUUGACCACUGUAGAGAUAUAGUUUCCCCUUCGGGGGCAACGGUGACAGGUGGUGCAUGGUUGUCGUCAGCUCGUGUCGUGAGAUGUUGGGUUAAGUCCCGCAACGAGCGCAACCCUUGAUCUUAGUUGCCAUCAUUUAGUUGGGCACUCUAAGGUGACUGCCGGUGA
Molecule: ribosomal RNA, 373 nt
Filed under: uncultured Lysinibacillus sp.
Lineage: Bacteria; Bacillati; Bacillota; Bacilli; Caryophanales; Bacillaceae
Description: bacterial SSU rRNA
Rfam family: Bacterial small subunit ribosomal RNA
Source: RNAcentral